UGACCCUAAACCCAGUGAACAGAUCUGAUGAAGGCCUCUACCAGUGCAGCAUCAGCGGUCAGGGAGAGUCUCCAUCCAGCUGGAUCUGGGUCAAAGAGAAACCGUCAACCACAUCGUCCCCAUCAACUCCUCCUCCUCCUCCUCCUUCAUCCUCCACUCCACUGACCAUCACCUCCAUCUCUCCUCCUCCUGGUCCAUCUUUUCCCACCAUCACAGUCGUUGCUGCCAUUUUUAUCUCUCUGGUUUUGCUCUCAUUAAUUCUUCUGGUUCUUCUGGUGAGACGAUGUUUCUGCAGGAAACCUGAAGAUGAAGGGAAACAUGAAAAGGAAAUCACAUACAGUGAUCUGAAAACCUUCAGUAAUCAGCAGCAGCCAAUCAGAAGCAGCAGAGAUCCAGCUCUGGUUUACUCUGCAGUGAGAACUGGAGACGUCGACUAUGGUCAGAUAAUCAUCAGAGAGACCAGAGACCAGCAGAGGAGCAGAGAGUUGGAUCCGGGUCCAGUUUACUCUGCAGUGAGGACAGCAGGCAUCAGACCCAACAGAACCAGAGAACCAGAACCAGAACCAGAACCAGACGUGGUUUACUCUCCAGUCAGACGAUAACGGGUCCAUGAGCAUCAUGUCUGUUUACACUGUCAGUUAUUUUAAUUAGAGAGGAAUAUUAUUUUAAAUCACAUUGUAACUUUACAAAAUAUGAAGUUACAAUUUGAUUUGACAUGUUUUAUUUCUUUGUGGUCUUUAAAUAUCAUUUCUGGAACCCUGAGCUUCUGUUUCCAUCAUCAGUGUCAUAAUUAUUAUAUUUAUAUAUAAAAUCUGCCUCGUUGUUGUUAUAUUUGCUUUAAGGUUAAAUAAAGUUUGUUCCAGUCGA
Non-coding RNA from Poecilia reticulata (guppy), 867 nucleotides. The record is from RefSeq and is a predicted model, not a curated record. Lineage: Eukaryota; Metazoa; Chordata; Actinopteri; Cyprinodontiformes; Poeciliidae.